CAAUAGCGUAUAUUAAAGUUGUUGCAGUUAAAAAGCUCGUAGUUGGACCUUGGACCUGACAGGCGGUCCGCCUCACGGCGAGUACUGUCUUGCUGGGUCUUUCCUCUUGGUGAUCUGUUGUUUCGGCAGCAGGGAACCAGGACCUUUACUUUGAAAAAAUUAGAGUGUUCAAAGCAGGCUCGACGCCGGAAUAUAUUAGCAUGGAAUAUAAAAUAGGACGUGCGGUUCUAUUUUGUUGGUUUUUGGAAUCGCCGUAAUGAUUAAUAGGGACAGUCGGGGGCAUUAGUACUCACAUGCUAGAGGUGAAAUUCUUGGAUUUUGUGAAGACUAACUUCUGCGGAAGCAUUUGCCAAGGAUGUUUUCAUUAA
Molecule: ribosomal RNA, 368 nt
Filed under: uncultured eukaryote
Lineage: Eukaryota
Description: partial 18S ribosomal RNA
Rfam family: Eukaryotic small subunit ribosomal RNA
Source: RNAcentral